Physeter macrocephalus (sperm whale) is the source of this 3976-nucleotide long non-coding RNA. RefSeq lists it as uncharacterized. The transcript has 3 exons. The record is from RefSeq and is a predicted model, not a curated record. Lineage: Eukaryota; Metazoa; Chordata; Mammalia; Artiodactyla; Physeteridae.
GUCCAGAAGCCCUCAAAUCUAGGUGAGUUUUGCUCAAAGACUGUGAAGAAGCAAACCUUCUGAAAUCAGAGGUAGUUGUUUAAAUCCCUGUUUGUCUUUCUUCUUCUUCCCCUAGUCUGGUGAUGUGGACCAGAAGCUUCUCCAUCCUAUUGAAUUCAAUCUCUGAGAUAAUCGUGUGGUCAAGCUUUCAGUCAACACGCAGCGAAGCGCCACGGCUCCACGGUGACCCUGUGGUGAGGGGCUGAUGGACCCCAUUUUGGUGACCUGCAGGGAGCCGGGAGCAGGAAACAAAAAAGAUUCUAAAGAGCUUUUCCAAUCACACAUAGUAGAAAGUAAUUAAUUACAUUUUGGAGUUAGGGUUUUUAAAUAAUAGCUUUCUGGACAAUUCUUUUUGGUAAAUAUUCUGCUUUAGAUUUAAAAAAAAUAUUUUGGGUAAGAUUAUUUUGGAAAAGCAGUAAAGAAUAUUAAAUUGUUAUAAUAAAGGGAAAACAUUUUAAUACAACAAAUAUAUCUGAAACUUCACCCUCUUGGCAUAUCAAUAUUUCCUCCAUCUGGUCCUUAUCCAUAUGUUCAUGUAAUUUGUAUAUAAAUACAAUUACAUUUAUAGUCUACCUUUGCAUUGAUAGAUCCUAAGUAUUUUUAAUGUAGUUCCCCUGAGCAUUUCUGAUUAUAUAAAAUAUUUCUGUAGUUUACUGUGACCUCUUAAAAAUGUUUUUUAGCAUAACGUCAUUGGGAAUAGGCUGCUGUUGUGCUUUACUCAUUACUGCUGUUUUUUUAAGAUGAGCUCUAUAGUUAUUAAGACCCACCUGUGAGGACUUGCCUGGUGGUCCAGUGGCUAAGACCCUGCACAACGCAGGGGGCCUGGUUUCCAUCCCCGGUCCGGGAACUAGAUCCCGCAUGCCGCAGCGAAGAGCCCGUGUGCCGCAACUAAGACCCAGCGCGACCAAAAUAAAUAAAUAAAUAUUAAAAAACAAACAAGCAAACAACCUACAGCCCACCACCUGUUAAAAAAAAAACAAAAGGAAAAAGAACCACUUGUGAAAUACAUGUCUGUGCCUGCCUGUGAAGUGACUUUAAAGGAGCCAAAUAAACAAAACCCAACACAAAGAAUCUCAUCUCUAGGAAUGGUAGAAACAACAUCGUUUCUUCAUUCAUGCUUCUUCAUUUGAUCAGUGCUGAUCGGGCAUCAACAACGGACAAGGCAACGCGGGAGAAGCGUCUUACAGAGCAGUCGGGAAGCAUCAGGGCCAGCCAGGGCACCUCCACCCUGCGGUGUCACGUGAUCCGUGGGACGGGAAGGCCACAAAAUCAGGGCCAUGCUGCAAGGAGGCUAAAGGAGCUGUUGUCCACGUCGGUGAUAUGGGGAGAUGUCUGGAGAGACUGGAUUUUAAAUUGGGGUCGAUGAGUGGGUCGGGCAAGACAGGGGACAUUCUACUCUGAGACACUAACAGAAGCAGCUACUGCAGAAGGACCCGCCAGCCGCGUUAGGAGGUUGGUGGGUGAGCGGGUGUUCCCCUUGGUUCAGGUGUGGAGUCCACGUGGGGUAACAGUCCCCCAAAGCCAGUAACAGCUGGAGCUAGACUGUGGGACCUCGAAGCUUUAUUCAAAUGGGACCCACAGAUGGUCUUUAAACAGGUGACCGCGGUCCCGACCAACAGCGACAGCCCGGCCCGGCCCAGCCGAAGCCCGCAGCAUAGAAACGAAACCGUGUUUCCCGCAGACGCCACGGCCUGUUAGGCAACGCAAAACGGAGACGCGCAGGCCCCUGAAAGAACCAGGCAGCUUUACCUGAAGCCCUCCUACUCCGGCGGCGGAUUUCCCACUCUGUUGUUUUCCUCUAUGGCCAUUUCCUUAAGAAGCUAAAUGUGCACUCACCCCACGACCCAGUGGUCAGACUCUCAGAACUGAAAUGUGUCUCCAUGAAGACUUGUGCACAAAUGCUCACAUCAGCCCCAAACAGCAAACAACUUGACAGGCCACGCACGGGGCGCCCAGGUGUCUGGCCAGACGUGAUCGCGGGUGUGUCUGGGAAGGUGUUUGUGGAUGAGAUGAACAAUGGAGCUGCACGCGUCCUGAGGGUGGGCCCCCUCCGAGCAGCUGAAGGCCUGACCGGAAUGAAAAGGCUGACCCCCCAUGAGGAAGAGCGAAUUCUCCUGCCCGACGGCUCUGCGCCGGGACACUGUGUUUCUCCUGCCUUUAGUCUCGGACUGAAUCCCUGGCUCCUCUUGGGUCUCAAACCUACCGGCCUUUGGACUGGAGUUUACGCGAUGGGCUCCCGGGGCCCCCAGCCUGUCGACCGCAGACCUCGGGGGUCAUCCGCCUCUACAGCCAUGGGAGGCAGUUCCUCAGCAUACACCCCCAUGCCGCCCAGAGGGUUCACUAGCGGGUGAAUGGACGAAUCCUGGAAUUCUCAGCAAUAAAAAGGCAUAAACUACCGAGGCAGCAACAACGGACAGGAGUCUUGAGAGCCCUGUGUGGAGUGAAAGAGACACAGACGAGUUCAUACUGGGUUUCCAUUUGUGUGAAAUUCCAGAGAAGACGGGUCUGUGACGCUGGCAGGCAGCCUGGCGGCGCUGGUGAAGGGGAGGUGACCUGACGGGCACGGCCCCAGUGGCGGUGGCACUUUGGCGCACGCAGGGCAAACGCGCGUUCUGUCUCAGUAGAGCUGGUUUUGCAGAAAGCAUCAGCCAGCCUGGCGGGAGUGGCCUCCUCUGAAACCAUGUCCUCCGCUGCCCCCACCUGCGUCAGAGGACGUUUAGCCGGGGGUCGGGCAGAAACCAAGUUGGGCCCAGCCCAUGUGAGGCCCAGGGGCCGGGGCGGGGGUGUCCCUGCGGCUGCUGGCCCGGCCCCUCCCUCACCCUGUGGGGGAGCCGACGAGGCAGAGGCGGGGCUGGGACAGGCGUGGGGUGUCCCUGGCCCUCGGGCCUCCAGCCGCCCUCACCCUCCGUCUCACGAGGCCUGGAGGUCUGGGCCGAGCCGACUCCCACCUUCACCACGAUCCGGGGGCCACGGAUCGCUUCUCGGCAGGGAAAGCUUCCCGGGACAGAGCGUGGAGGGCACGAAGAGCAGACGGAAGUCUCGCGAGGCCUGGAACGCGGGUGACCAGGGAGGAGCUGUUUCAGCGUCAGCCGACUUGCCGAACGGGUCAGCCGCAAACGGGCGGGAGCGCCCCCGGCGGCCGCUCUGCGUCCCGUCCGGGCAGCCCCGUCUGCCUGGUAGAGGCGGUCCCGGGAGAUCUGGUGCAGCAGCCCAGGCGGGGUGGCGACUUCGCUGCGGUACUUAAAGAAUGAGUUUCUCAACCGCGCCUUCAGCCAUGUUAACACCGCUCCCCAGAUUCGAGAACUCAUUAAAAGAGAAACGCUUGAUCGUAGAAGCAAUAACCUGAAUUUUGGCCAAUGUACUGAGAAUUCAUUUUAAUUGGAAACGUGUUUUCUUGCCGAGGACUUUGGGGGGUGCCUCGGGGUGCGAAGGAGCCGGUGCCCAGCUGACGUGCACGAUGUUCCCUGCGGGCUCAGAGCGCCCCUCUCAGUGCUGGAGAGAAGGUGCUCCGUGACCUGGGGCGGGUGACUGGGCGUCUCUGUGCCUCAGCUCUUGCCCAUGAGAAGGAGGUGACGAUGGGGGCCUCCCCGCCCAGCACAGGCUGCUGCAAAGGACGAGGGCAGAGAACGCACCAGCUGUGAGAGGCUUGAUUCAUAUUUUGCUUUUGGUCUAAUUUGCAGCUUUUGCCUUUGACGACACUAUUUGCCUUGUGUGAUUGUUGUGAGGAUUAAAUGAGAUGAUUUAUGUAAACUGAUAAGUUCAAUAGUAAAAGUUAUUUAUUUCGGAAGUUUAUAGCUAAGGACGUAAUUGUAAAAAUUAUUACUGUUGGAUGACGCCUUUAAACCUAAAGUUCUGUGUUAUUUGCCUGUUUUCAUUUGGAUGCGGCCUUUUCAUGUGUUCUCUGGGUGUCGACCUCACCACAACCCCAUGAAGUGAA